Long non-coding RNA from Spinacia oleracea (spinach), 1778 nucleotides. RefSeq lists it as uncharacterized. The transcript has 5 exons. The record is from RefSeq and is a predicted model, not a curated record. NCBI's taxonomy places the organism in Eukaryota, Viridiplantae, Streptophyta, Magnoliopsida, Caryophyllales, Amaranthaceae.
UCCUUCGCCUCCAACCUAAAACCCUCCAACCUAAAACCCUUCGCCUCCAAUUGUGAUUCUCAAAUUCAUAUUCUCAUAUAAAUUUUCUAUUUCAAGUGAUAUAUUACUUCUUAAUGGGAUCGAAUAUAUGGCUCGAUUUAUCCUCUUGAUUUAAUUGAUUGAUGUAGUUGGGGUUCAAAUCAACCUGUCAAAUUCUUGAAUCCUAACAAUCGUAUUCUGUGCAAGAUGCCAAUAGAAGUUUGUAAAAGUCGUAAUCCUGCGUUUAACUGGGAUGAAAUUAGGAUUCUCUGCUCAAUGCAAAGGAAAUAGUCCGAAGACUUGUAGCUGUUAUGUGAAACAACCAUGGAUCUGUUAUCCAGAGUCUGAUUUGUUUAUGCUGAGGAGUAUUAUUGGAUUCGGAUUCCAUUCUACUAAACCAUCUACAACUUUUUCUCAUUGGUUAGAUCUUAGUUUUGAUAAAAAGUACAAGAACAUUGCAAGCAGACACAUGUUAUUGUUCACUUUUGUUUUCUGGUUCUAGAUGAUUUGGCUGCUUAUUCCUCUUCAUAAUAAUGUGGAACCUUGUUUUUUGUUGCGAAAUGUUGCAGCUUUACCAGAAUGGUAUGCAGCAUGCAGCAGGGGGCUUGUAUAUUGGUUAAUCUUUUAAUCUUACUACUUCCAAAUAUUCACGAACUUGCAGUAAGACGUGUUUCUUUUAAUCAAGUUUCCUUCUCUAGAUGUGAUUAUAUACGUGGCUGCGGUGCUGAAAGAUUGUGAGGGGGGGUACUAGAGCCUGGGAGGUUUUCGUGCAUGCAAGUAUGUUGUUUGGCACCAUUUUAUACAGUUGCAAUCAACAUUGUACUGUUGGGUAUGGAUGCUGGUCAAGUGAGGCGAUAUUAUUAGCCCGUAUUUUUUGAGCUAGGCAAACUCAGAAACUUUUGGAGUCCUGAUAACAAAGCUUUUGAUAACAAUUGUACUGAGUUUGUUGGUUUUUUAAGCUCAUAAGUAAGUUGCCUUAACUUGUUGUACACAGUUUUGAUGAUUUAGAAUGAUAUAGUUGUUAGGCAGGUUAUCAUGUUAAUGAAUGUUAAGCUUAGCUUAUUGAGAAUUUGAUCUUGUUUCUAGCUUCACUUGAUUAUUGGCUACUUCUAUGAGUUGGAUGACAUUUAUUAAUUACCUUAUGAAGACAUGCAAUUGAUGUAGGAGACAAACCAAAAUCCGAAUGAGUAGCCUAAGUCACAUGCACUCGUGAUAUAUGCAUUGAUUCGUUGUUCGUAUCACUACCUUUCAUCCAUUGAAGAGGCUGCCGAGGAGGAAAUUCAGAAAACAACAGAAGAAGAACAAACACUUUCCCAUGUACAGGAGCACAAAAAGUGUUUAAGUCAAAGUCUCGUUAUUGGGUUUUGGAGGAGGAAUAACAAUUAAAAGAAAUAUCAGGACCAGAGGGUAGAACUUCAAUCUAAGUUGAAUCAAAAUCAUGCUCUUACCAAUCAUGUGGAUACGGUACAAGAAGAAAACAAUGCACUUAAGAGUCGCAUGAGUUCAGUUGAAGAUGAGCUUAAUGAGCUUGAAGCAUUUAAAGAAGUGUUCUUACAACGCUUUUCAAGGGAUGGCACUCCAAGAGAGAACACUUCAAUUAGUUAGAUUUUAUUUGUUCUUUUCGAUUGAACAAGAAUUACUUAUCUUUUUAGCUUUUUUAGAAUUUAAAGACAAGCUAGGGGAUGUGAUUUUUGAUUUCACAUAACUUGAAAUUCUAUUGUCAAAAAUCUUUUGAGUAAUGAAAUUUUCAUUUGUUUUAA